AGAUUUUCUUAAUGGCCUUAAGUAGGGCAGCAAUUUCGGGACAUGGACGUCCCGAAAAGUCCGCUAUGAGCCCGGAUGGCGAAUUGCGGACGGUUGCGUCCAGGUAGGCAAUCUUCCUUAAGAACAUUUAGAAAAUCCAUUUUACGAAG
Molecule: non-coding RNA, 149 nt
Filed under: human gut metagenome
Source: RNAcentral